Long non-coding RNA from Corapipo altera (White-ruffed manakin), 477 nucleotides. RefSeq lists it as uncharacterized. The record is from RefSeq and is a predicted model, not a curated record. The transcript has 3 exons. Lineage: Eukaryota; Metazoa; Chordata; Aves; Passeriformes; Pipridae.
UUAGAAACCCUGCUGGAGACAAAUCCUGGGCUCGGUGGACAUUUGGUGUGAUCAGCUGUGGCUCUCAGUAUUCUAACACUCAUCAUGUGCCUCACUGGUGUCGGGAGAGAUUUGGGCUGUGUACUAAUGGCUGUGGAGUUUUACCUUAGCAGUGCAAGUCCUCUGAAUCUGUGAAUCACAUGAGAAUGGAUCUUUUUAGGAUACUAUAGAUAUCAGAUACACAACUCUCAUUACAACAGCACAGGAAGAAAGGAAGGUGGAUGAACCUGAUCUGAGAUUUCUGCGUGAAUAAGGUUUUCUUAGCUAAAUAGAGGCUCUUUUCAUGUGAAAAAAACCCAAACUUGCAGACUAUUGACCUGUGUAACUAAAUUUAUGAAGUUUUCUAAAAGCACAUUAUUGACUUUUUUAUCUGUGAUUCAGUGUUGCUACAUUUUAUGAUGUAAAUGUGUACUUAGGAGCCUUUAUAAAAUGCAGAUU